AGAGGUCAAACCGAUGAGCUUUUUCGUAUACGUCAGCCGUUCUCGACUAAACCUCCCGGGGAUGGCACAUCGAAGGAUCGAAUCUUGAAACGUGGCUUCGCAUCCUCACAGACGGUUUUCACUCGGAUUCCUUCGACUUAAACCUUCAAACACCAAAAACAUCGACUUGGACCUCCAAAUCGUACGCAGCGCAGUAUUUUUCAUUCGAUUGAAAUUGGACAUCGAUGCUUCAAAUCCGAGGCAAGUUCCUCCACUUAUAAUUGGAACAUGGAAGAAGCAAUCGAAGGGAAUGCACGAGACCUGGGAUGACGGAAGGAAACUUUGUGAGGGUGGAUCAAAAAGCAUGCUUCAAUAUUAGCGCGAAAAUGAUGGGUAAACACACACAAUGUAACACGGCAGGAGGCACAUGCUGGAGAGACAUGGGAACGGCACGGAACGACACGUAAUUUUUGUUGUUAUUCCCCCAACACCCCUGAUGUUUUAUCGCAACGUUUCGGAAACGAAUAAGCACAGGAGGAAGUUUGAAAUAAAACAAAGUAAUGAGUUUUAGCUGAGAAAUAAAUUUGAG
Venturia canescens is the source of this 568-nucleotide long non-coding RNA. RefSeq lists it as uncharacterized. Lineage: Eukaryota; Metazoa; Arthropoda; Insecta; Hymenoptera; Ichneumonidae. The transcript has 3 exons. The record is from RefSeq and is a predicted model, not a curated record.